GCGCCGGUGGUCUAAUGGCAUGACAAUGGCCUUCCAAGCCGUUUAUCCGGGUUCGAAUCCCGGCCGGCGCA
Molecule: transfer RNA, 71 nt
Filed under: Candidatus Woesearchaeota archaeon
Lineage: Archaea; Nanobdellati; Candidatus Woesearchaeota
Description: tRNA-Gly
Rfam family: tRNA
About the family: Transfer RNA (tRNA) molecules are approximately 80 nucleotides in length.
Source: RNAcentral